This 5567-nucleotide long non-coding RNA is filed under the name Anolis carolinensis (green anole). RNAcentral's name for it is "lncRNA (ENSACAG00000041908.1)". Lineage: Eukaryota; Metazoa; Chordata; Lepidosauria; Squamata; Anolidae. The record is from RNAcentral.
AUUGGUACUUAUGUCUUCAAGUUACCGCAGCUGAUGGUUGACCGGCUCUAUCUGCCUAGAAGAUCAGGGGGCAGAGGACUCUUACAAGUAAAACAAGCAGUCAAAGAAGAAGAACAUGCCCUGGCAGAAUAUUCAAAGCAAAGUGAAGAACCUGGUUUGAUUGAAGUCAAAAAUCAGAAACUCCUCAAAGCACAGCAGACAAAAAACCAGUACAUGAAAACCGCACUACAAACUAGAGCUGACAGCUGGCACAACAAAACAUUGCAUGGAAAGUUCCUUGACAAAAUGGAAGGAAAAGCUGAUAAGGAGAAGACCUGGCUCUGGCUCACGAAUGGGACCCUGAAGAAGGAGACAGAAGGCCUGAUCCUUGCAGCCCAGGAGCAAGCCAUCAGGACAAAGGCAAUUCAGGCCAAGAUCGAAAAAUCAGCUGAUGACCCAAAAUGCAGACUGUGCAAGGAAACCGACGAAACCAUUGAUCAUAUCCUCAGCUGCUAUAAGAAAAUCGCACAGACAGACUACAAGCAGAGGCACAACUAUGUGGCCCAAAUGAUUCAUUGGAACUUAUGCCUCAAGUACCACCUGCCAGCAACAAAGAACUGGUGGGAUCAUAAACCUGCAAAAGUGUUGAAAACUGAGCACGCAAAGAUACUGUGGGACCUCCGAAUCCAAACUGACAAAGUUCUGGAACACAACACACCAGACAUCACAGUUGUGGAAAAGAAAAAGGUUUGGAUCAUUGAUGUCGCCAUCCCAGGUGACAGUCGCAUUGACGAAAAACAACAGGAAAAACUCAGCCGCUAUCAGGACCUCAAGAUUGAACUUCAAAGACUCUGGCAGAAACCAGUGCAGGUGGUCCUGAUAGCAGCUGAGUUUUUCCUGUUGUUUUUCGUCAAUGCGACUGUCACCUGGGAUGGCAACAUCAAUGAUCCAAACCUUUUUCUUUUCCACAACUGUGAUGUCUGGUGUGUUGUGUUCCAGACUGACAAAGUUCUGGAACACAACACACCAGACAUCACAGUUGUGGAAAGAAAAAGUUUUGGGUCAUUGAUGUUGCCAUCCCAGGUGACAGUCGCAUUGACGAAAAACAACAGGAAAAACUCAGCCGCUAUCAGGACCUCAAGAUCGAACUUCAAAGACUCUGGCAGAAACCAGUGCAGGUGGUCCCGGUGGUGAUCGGCACACUGAGUGCCGUGCCAAAAGAUCUCAGCCAGCAUUUGGAAACAAUAGACAUUGACAAAAUUACGAUCUGCCAACUGCAAAAGGCCACCCGACUGGGAUCUGCAGCAUCAUCCAAAAAUACAUCACCCAGUCCUAGACACUUGGGAAAUGUUUGACUUGUGAUUUUAUGACACGAAAUCCAGCAUAUCUAUCUUGUUUGCUGUGUCAUACAAUAAAAUAAUACUUAUUUUUAUACCCCACCCUCCAUCUCCCCGAAGGGACUCGGGGCGGCUUAUAUAGGGCCAAGCCUGGAUAAAACAGCAAACCAAAAUAAAAUAACAUCAGAAAAUACAGAACACAGAAAUUAAAUUAACACUCUAAACAUAUUAAAAAUAUAAAAUGAUAAGCCUGGUAAAAACAUAGAUUUGGCAUCUGGGGGUUGGUGCUCAUCUCUAUUUCUAAACCGAAGAGUUGGCGUUGUCCAUAGGUCAUGUGGCCGGCAAGACUGCAUCGAGGGCUGUUACCUUCCUGCUGGAGCGGUACCUAUUGAUCUACUCACAUUUGCAUGUUUUUGAACUGCUAGGUUGGCCGAAGCUGGGGCUAACAGCGGGAGUUCACCCCGCUCCCUGGAUUCGAACCACAUUCAGCAGCUCAGUGGUUUAACCCGCUGGUAAAAACAUGGAUUUGUAAAUCCUAAUUUGCUCAAAACACAUUCAUACACAAAUAUGCACAAUUAAAUUCCUUCCUGCCAAUUGCAAGAUUCCUUUUCGUAACUUUGGAGAGAUUGUCAUAUUCUUGAGAGAUUUUUGCCUAUCCUUUAUUUGCACAUUCCUCUAAAGAAUACAAAACUGAAAACAAUAGCAAGUGUUGUCUAAAUACACAGUAGUAGUGUUGGAAAUGUUGUUCUUUCUUCUUGAUUAUAAUUAUUAUCAAUUCUUUAUUACAACAUCAUCCCUGCCACCUGCCACUCCCCAAGACAGCAAUUCAUAGAGUUAUUUUGUUAUUAUAGGCAAACUAAUAGUGCCAAAAAUUGGCUUCUCACAUAGUUGUUGGAAGAAAGUUCAACUUUAUCUCCCCCUAAUAUUUUCAAAAGAACAAUCCCAAAUCAUUGGAAAAUUGUGUUUUUAUUUCUUUUCUUUAGCUAUGUGGAGUCUAUUAGCUAAUUUUUCAAUCAAAGCUAAUUACCACACCUUAUUACACCCGGCUGUCAGAGAUCUCUCCCUUAAAUCUUUUCACAAUCAGGUAAUGAAAAACCUAGCAGCAACUAAUGAAUAACUAAUGAAAGGAGCCCAAGAGGGCCAAUUCUCAACCCUUUGUAAGGUAUUGGCUAGCAGAGUUUUUUCUAUUUUUGUGAUCAAUCAGCCUGUCCUUUCUCUCCUUCCCUGCAUUCUUAGCAUUAAAAAGAAAACUGACACUAACUUUGCACAAAGAAAUGGAAGAAAAUAUGGUGGGGAAACGUGCUUUAUGGUUUGCUUUCAUACUGGUGGUAAAGAACUCUCAGGGAGAUUGACGAAUUCUCAACAGGCUAUCUUGGUGUAUCGAGAUAGUCUGUUUCGAACAAAAUCUCAGCAAUUGUGAAAUUUUUCACAUUUCUACAAGACAAGCCCAUCGCAGUACAAGCAAUACUGUGAAGCCUGAAGGGAUUUUUCUCCCUCACAAUAUAAUAAUAAUAAUAAUAAUAAUAAUAAUAAUAAUAAUCCAGACAUCACAGUUGUGGGAAAGAAAAAGGUUUGGAUCAUGGAUGUCGCCAUCCCAGGUGACAGUCGCAUUGACGAAAAACAACAGGAAAAACUCAGCCGCUAUCAGGACCUCAAGAUUGAACUUCAAAGACUCUGGCAGAAACCAGUGCAGGUGGUCCCGGUGGUGAUGGGCACACUGGGUGCCGUGCCAAAAGAUCUCAGCCGGCAUUUGGAAACAAUAGACAUUGACAAAAUUAUGAUCUGCCAACUGCAAAAGGCCACCCUGCUGGGAUCUGCACGCAUCAUCCGAAAAUACAUCACACAGUCCUAGACACUUGGGAAGUGUUCGACUUGUGAUUUUGUGAUAUGAAAUCCAGCAUAUCUAUCUUGUUUGCUGUGUCAUAAUAAAAUAAUAAUAAUAUAAAAAUAACUUGGAAAGUGUCUGACAUGUGAUCCAAUACAAAAGCCAACAGAGUGUCUGCUGUGGACUCAUUUUGUUGUGUUUCAAAUAACACCAACACCAACACCAACACCAACAACAACUUUAUUCUUGUAUCCCGCCCUAUCUUCCCGGGGCAGCUCACAUGGGGACCAGGCCCAACAAUAUGCAAUAAAAUACAUACCAAUCACAACCAAUUAAUGUAUCAACAUCAUAAAAUAAAAGUGUAAGCAAUGGAAAAAGGCGAUAUAAUAACACUUCAAUCUCCAUGCAGGAAACUUUCUCUCAUUCUCAAGCAGGUCUUUAUUGGAUUAAACUGUUUUAACCUUGGGUUGCUGUGAGUCUUCCGGAUUGUAUGUUCCAGAAGGAGAGGAGGGCAACUAAAAUGAGUCUGAAGAACAAGCCCUAUGAAGAGCGGUGUAAAGAGCUGGGCAGGUUUAGCCUGCAGAAGAGAAGGCUGAGAGGAGACCAUGUCCUGGAGACUAGGACAAAAUGGAGCAAUGGCUUCAAACUACAGGAAAGGAGGUUCCACCUGAAGAAUGUCAUAACAGUGAGAGCUGUUCAGCAGUGGAACUCUCUGAUUCAGAGUGUGGUGGAGGCUCCUUCUUUGGAAGCUUUUAAACAGAGGCUGGAUGACCAUCUAUCUGGGGUGCUUUGAAGGCAAUUUUCCUGCAGAAUGGGGUUGGACUGGAUGGCCCACCAGGUCUCUUCCAACUCUAUGAUUCUAUGAAAGGUAAAACAUUGUUGUUGCUUAUUUAUUUGGACUACUAUUGGCAAGUUUUAUCUAUACAGGACCUAAAGAUUUUCCCCGUUGUUAACAUUCUUCUUGAGAAAUUCAAUGUUCUCUGCCUAAGAAGGGAACAAUUAGCCUUGGAAAUUACUGUGCUGCUAAUGCAAUUGAGUUUUUAUUAUUUUGUCCUUGGGCAAGAAGUGAAGUGACCCCUGCCUGCAUUGAGAUCCAUCCUGACCAUCUUAACUGAGAGCAGAUGCAACAUCUGAGAAAAAAAAUGAAGGUUUAUGACUCUAAUGGUAUCACUUUUCUUCAACAUCUUUGCCUGAUCAAGAAGCAAGGUUUUGCAAGCUUGUAUGAUGCAUUUUAAUUGGCCCAAUAAAAGUAUCAUUGUUUUGUGGGCUUUGCUGCAUUCUCCUGCAUUAGCAACACAGCUUUGACCUUUCCCAUCCUGUAGUGAUUACAUUGGCCCCAUCUACACUGGCAUAUAAUGCAGUUUAGAACUGAAUUAUAUGGUCAGCGUGGAGUCAUAUAACACAGUUUAACUGCAUUAUAUGAAACUACACUGACCAUAUAAUGCAAUUUCAAACUACAUUAUAUGGCAGCAUAGAUGGAGUCAUUGAUGUCCUCCAUCCAUUAGUGUAAAGAUUGUAAAAUCCACCGAACACUGUCCACAUCCCAAUGUCAACCUCAGAAGAUAUAUUAGGUUUUUUUUCCCCAGGACAAAAAUAAUCAAGAUUAAAAGUGGAACUAAACACGGUUGUCCACUCUCCCCUAUUCUAUUUGCUUUGGAAAUAGAACCUUUAGCAAAUUUUACAAAAUUAAAGGCUUCAGAAUUGCAAGGGAAUUAAUCAAAAUUAACCUAUUUGCGGAUGAUGCCAUGGUUCUAAUGGGAUCACCAGUGGACUCUAUAAAAGAAGUUAUUCAUACCAUAAAGAAAUUUGAGAAUCUAUCAGGGUUGGCCAUUAACAUUCAAAAAAUCAGAAAUUCUACAUAAAAAUCUGUCUUUGAAAGAGUUAAAAGAAAUACAGACCAUCUCUGGGAUAAAAUUAGGUGAAAAGAAGUUAAAAUAUUUAGGCGUUUAUAUUCCCAAAAGUUUAAACAAUAUAAUUCAAUUAAAUUACAAUCAUUUAUGGAAAAAGUAAACAAUCAAAUUCGUAAUUGGAAUAAUCAGAACUGGGAUAUGCACUUUAUCUAUUUAUGAAUUUGUUACCCAUAAUGUGCACCGUACACUUUGAUUAUCCACUAUUGCAACCUCAUUGUUUUUAACCUGAUGUUUUAAUUCUACGUUGUGUUUUUUAACUUAUUGUGUAUAUUUUUAUUGAUUUUUGUUUUUGUCCUGAUGUUUUAUAUUUUAUCAUUGUUUGUAUUUUGACUUUGCUGUAAGCCGGCCCGAGUCCCCUUCGGGGGAGAUGGAGGCGGGAUACAAAUAAACUUAUUAUUAUUAUUAUUAUUAUUAUUAUUAUUAUUAUUAUUAUUAUUAUUAUUAUUAUAUGUCAAACAAAGUUAAGGUGACUGGGUGAUAAUACACUCUUUUCAAAAAAGCCACCCAGAAUUGUGA